CCAUCACUCUCGAGAAUGGUACAAAACUUUAUGAAAUGUACGAUAGAUUUUCUGUCUCCAAUGAAACAGGGAAAUAUCAACUUUUUCUUGCAGGACCUGCCACGGGGACCUUAGGUGACAGUAUGUUAGACACUGGUUAUCCAAUUUACUACGAUCUGUCUGGGAUGUACUUCUCCACCCCAGACAGAGAUAACGACGUGUAUGGUGACUAUAACUGUGCUGCUAGCAAUGGAGGAGGCUGGUGGUUUAAUAUCUGUCACCGGGCCUUCCUUAACGGUCGCUGGUCCCCGGGACACUGGAUCGACCCGUGGUCUCCUACAGUAGAGUGGGGGAUGUACGUGAGGGGGACCUUGAUGAUGAUAAAACGUCACUAGAUAAAACACCAUCCAUCAUCAAGACAAACCCGAUUUCAAUUAAUAUUUAUCGAGGG
Molecule: long non-coding RNA, 430 nt
Organism: Saccostrea cuccullata (small rock oyster)
Lineage: Eukaryota; Metazoa; Mollusca; Bivalvia; Ostreida; Ostreidae
Exons: 3
Source: RefSeq, a predicted model, not a curated record